GCCCUCGUAGCUCAGUCGGUAGAGCGCAUCCUUGGUAAGGAUGAGGUCACCGGUUCAAGCCCGGUCGAGGGCUCCA
RNAcentral lists this transfer RNA (76 nucleotides) under Acidobacteriota bacterium. RNAcentral describes it as "tRNA-Thr". It matches the Rfam family "tRNA". Rfam says of the family: Transfer RNA (tRNA) molecules are approximately 80 nucleotides in length. Their secondary structure includes four short double-helical elements and three loops (D, anti-codon, and T loops). The record is from RNAcentral. Lineage: Bacteria; Pseudomonadati; Acidobacteriota. RNAcentral also lists the same sequence under 3 other names.